Molecule: small RNA, 48 nt
Filed under: Salix viminalis (osier)
Lineage: Eukaryota; Viridiplantae; Streptophyta; Magnoliopsida; Malpighiales; Salicaceae
Source: RNAcentral
UUCUCGAAGAGGAAAAAAAGUCAUAAUUUUGUUCUUCAAUUUCGAGGC